This is a non-coding RNA of Phoenix dactylifera (date palm), 1403 nucleotides long. Lineage: Eukaryota; Viridiplantae; Streptophyta; Magnoliopsida; Arecales; Arecaceae. The record is from RefSeq and is a predicted model, not a curated record.
UGUGAGUACGUCACACCUAGCAUCACCCCGGCUACUAGAGGUCCAAGAAGCAUUCCUAUGCCUCAUGUCCAAGCAGUGGCUGAAGCCACAUUUUAAUCAACGCCGCAGCGACUCGAACUUGGGACCAUGAGGAUAGAAAUUACGCUCAGUACCACUAGGCUACCAACUUGGUGGUAAGGGAAGCUUCUUGCUUCCACCACCUUCUUUUCAAAAAUAGAAAAACCACCAAUAAAAUCUAUAAAUAACUCUUGGAGCUUGCUAUUGUGCUCCUGUAAAAUCCGUACAAUAUGUAUUUUUUUGGGGGGGUAUAACAGCCGCUCGUACGUGUCAAGCACGAGUAAGGCCGACCGAAUCAAGAAAGAGUAAAUAACACAGGACGUAGGGCACUUUAGCCGUGUCAUCUCAUAUGAAACCUCCAGCAUAGUGGGCUGAAAACGAUGUCAUCAAAUCAGCCGCACUGUUCGCUUUUUUGUAGAUAUGUGUAGCCCUGGAGAGUCUGCCAGUAGUGAAAAGCCUACAAAUGUCACAUAGCAGCGGUCUAGAAUCCUCACUAGUGUGAGGGACCAGCCCACACACAGCAGGCUGGUGGGCCAAGCCCAACGCGGCCAGCCUAUCUAGAAACCCCAGCAGAGUCUGUGGAAAGAAGAUGGUUGUGAUUGCCGGCGGUUAUAACCGCCUAACAGCCACGAUUAAAGAGGGUUAUAAAUACCCACGGAUAGGGCUUCAUCCCUCCCCUCACCGCCUCUCUCUUCCUUCUCUUCUUGCAGCGGCAGCAACAGACCCACCCGGAUCUGCCACUGAGCACCGGAGGAGGUACCCCAGCUCGACAUCGUCGCCCACAGCUUCUUCCCGGAGCUAGGUGAGUCUUCUGAUCAGCGCCUCUCACUUCCUUCUCUUCUUGCAGCGGCAGCAACAGACCCACCCGGAUCUGCCACUGAGCACCGGAGGAGGUACCCCCAGCUCGACAUCGUCGCCCACAGCUUCUUCCCGGAGCUAGGGUAUUUGUGGAAGCUGGCCCAGACAAUAUGCUCGAUGUUGGAAGGGUUGGAGGCAAAGAAAAGGAGGGCGGCGGCGACGGUGCCGGUGGGGGAGUUUGCGAGGAGUUCCUCAUCCAUUUCACUAGGUGGUUGAUGGUCACAAGUGUUUUGAAGAAAUGGAAGCGGUUUCUAAUAACUCUAAUAUGGUCGAAACUCAACAACGCCUUGUUUGUCUCUCUUUAACUUCACAGUAUUUUCAACUCCGGUAAUACUCCUUUAGUUUAUUUUUGCUCGACGAUAGAAAUUAACAAAAGUAGGCAACAGCCAAAUUAGAAAUACAUUACUAGUUGCAUAUUUAUAAGAUAUAACGAAUUAGAAUGUGUAAAUAUUUGAGUUAUGGAUGUUUCAUUUCAUAUGCAUCACACA